UACAUGGGGUGCAAACGUUGUUCGGAAUUAUUGGGCGUAAAGCGCACGUAGGCGGUUUGUUAAGUCGGAUGUGAAAUCCCUCGGCUCAACUGAGGAAGUGCAUCCGAAACUGGCAGGCUUGAGUACUAAAGAGGGUCGCGGAAUUCCCGGUGUAGAGGUGAAAUUCGUAGAUAUCGGGAGGAACACCGGUGGCGAAGGCGGCGACCUGGGUAGAUACUGACGCUGAGGUGCGAAAGCGUGGGGAGCAAACAGG
Molecule: ribosomal RNA, 253 nt
Filed under: uncultured bacterium
Lineage: Bacteria
Description: partial 16S ribosomal RNA
Rfam family: Bacterial small subunit ribosomal RNA
Source: RNAcentral